UGCCAGCCGCCGCGGUAAUACGGAGGGGGUUAGCGUUGUUCGGAAUUACUGGGCGUAAAGCGUACGUAGGCGGAUUAAUAAGUUAGAGGUGAAAUCCCAGGGCUCAACCCUGGAACUGCCUUUAAAACUGUUAGUCUUGAGAUCGAGAGAGGUGAGUGGAAUUCCAAGUGUAGAGGUGAAAUUCGUAGAUAUUUGGAGGAACACCAGUGGCGAAGGCGGCUCACUGGAUCAUUACUGACGCUGAGGAACGAAAGCAUGGGUAGCGAAGACGAUUAGAUA
This 279-nucleotide ribosomal RNA is filed under the name uncultured bacterium. RNAcentral describes it as "partial 16S ribosomal RNA". It matches the Rfam family "Bacterial small subunit ribosomal RNA", at positions 506 to 784 of the family's 1533-position model. The record is from RNAcentral.